GUGCUCACUUUGGCAUCACAUAUAAUAAAAUUGGAAAGAUACAGAGAAGAUUAGCGUGGCCCCUAUAUGAGUAUGACAUGCAAAUUUACGAAGCGCUCCAUAUUUUU
Molecule: small nuclear RNA, 107 nt
Organism: Sorex fumeus (smoky shrew)
Lineage: Eukaryota; Metazoa; Chordata; Mammalia; Eulipotyphla; Soricidae
Source: RefSeq, a predicted model, not a curated record